UACGUAGGGUGCAAGCGUUGUCCGGAAUUAUUGGGCGUAAAGAGCUCGUAGGCGGUUUGUCGCGUCUGCUGUGAAAACUCGGGGCUUAACCCCGGGCCUGCAGUGGGUACGGGCAGACUAGAGUGCGGUAGGGGAGACUGGAAUUCCUGGUGUAGCGGUGAAAUGCGUAGAGAUCCGGAGGAACACCGACGGCGUAGGCAGCGCCCUGGACGACACCUGACGCUGAGGCACGAAAGCUGGGGGAGCGAACGGG
RNAcentral lists this ribosomal RNA (253 nucleotides) under uncultured bacterium. Its description in RNAcentral is "partial 16S ribosomal RNA". It matches the Rfam family "Bacterial small subunit ribosomal RNA", at positions 524 to 776 of the family's 1533-position model. The record is from RNAcentral.